Molecule: non-coding RNA, 105 nt
Organism: Macrolepiota fuliginosa MF-IS2
Lineage: Eukaryota; Fungi; Basidiomycota; Agaricomycetes; Agaricales; Agaricaceae
Source: the annotation of a GenBank genome assembly
GCCACUGUAGCACAAUGGUAGUGCGUUGCUUUCCUACAGCGCUGUUGAAUCAGCAAUGUCAGGCAAGUGAGGCAAAGGUUGCGGGUUCGAUCCCCGUCAGUGGUU